Podarcis muralis (Common wall lizard) is the source of this 3098-nucleotide long non-coding RNA. NCBI's taxonomy places the organism in Eukaryota, Metazoa, Chordata, Lepidosauria, Squamata, Lacertidae. The record is from Ensembl.
CAUAUUUGAAAGGAGCGUGCUUGAUAAGCAAUGUCUGCUUAUGAUGAAGGAGAAGAGGAAGGAGACCCAUAUGAGGACAUUACCGAGCCAAAAUCAGCUGCUGCUGAAUCACUCCUGCCUAAGGAACCUGAACCUGCUCCAAGCACCCCACAGCCACCAGCUGGUAGAAUGGACUGCUGCUGCCUUCUGUGGAGUAUCAUCUGGUUGGUGGUGCUGGUGGCUUUUGCUUGGCCCUUGAGUGUGGCUAUGGCAGCCCUUUAUGGAUUUGUAUCACCCAUGAUUACCCUAAUAGGACUUGAUGAUAUCAGUGAGUCUCUGCUACAAGCAGUACAUGUGGGACGAGAGUGUGCUCAGAACGUCAGAAUGGGCAGGCCUAUUGCUUGAAGAAAAGAUCUCGCAGCAUUAGGUGUCCCUUCCCUUUACCUGUAUCUUAUCACGAGUGCUGAUCUGUAAUUCUUCUUUUUCAACCAUCUAUAUUAAAAAGUUCUUAUUUCACUAUAAAUUUGGUUUCAUGAUAUUUUUACCUAUCCGCCAUUUUAGCCAUCGCCACUAUAUAAAUAAUCUAACCACUGCAACUUAAACUCUUGCAAAGACAUCAUCAGUUGAGAUGGGCAAUUUGCUUAUUGAUGCUUUAAUUGAUCAAUACCAAAGUGGAUUUUAGUGUGUGCAUAAGAGGACAUAUUUUACAAUACAUUAUAGUAUUGUGUGGACUGUGCCAAAAGCAACAAGAUUUGGCUCCACACUGGUAAAAGCGGAGGGUUAAUAUCUUUUUGUAGAACCAGCUUCUGUUGGAGACAUUGAGCAUAUCCACAUGGCAGAUUCUGGUAGGUUUGGUGCUGCUUGUGGAUGCAAGCUUUGUGCAGUGUCCAUGUGACAUUGUCAUCAUCAAAAUGCCAUCCUACAUUAUUUUCCCAUUUAAUCCAGAUUUACCAUUUCUGCAGAAAAUCCAGGAAGUGAGAAACACAAGAAGAGAACCUGCCAUUUUCAUGCCAACUAGUGAAACAUGUUUAAGUGGCAGGGGUGGGGAAGAAAUUAGAUUUAGUUUACAUUUUAAUAGAGAGCUUCCUAAUUCGUACUUCCUAAAGCAAUAAGCAAACCAAAACACAAUUAUCCCUCGAAGUUUGCGGUUGUCUGAAUUUGGGGGUGCAGUUCUUCAACCAAAUAAUGUCUAUACAAAUGUUAUAUUAGGGACAGUGUGUAUAGAAAUGCACAUAUUUUUGAAAGUGACAUUCAAAAAUGCAUUAUAUUUUGGGAAAUUGGUUGCAAAAACAUAUAUAUCAGGAAAAAUUGCACACAAAAAUGUGCAUAGCAGGAAGAAUUUGAACUAAAAUUGUGAAAAAAAUUAAUGAGGACUUUUAAUGAAGAAAAAUAAUUUGCCAGCUGACAUAGAAAUGUGGAGAACUGAGCUCAAAACUAGAAAAAGGAGACACUGAGAUUGACAGAUUUGUCCAUCCCUGGGAAAUAGUAAAGCCAGAUUAAAUGGGAAGGAAAUAUGGGAUGGCAUUUUGAUAGGGAUGGGUAUUGUGUGGACCCUGAGAAAAACUUCAUUGCUGGAGCAUUUUAAGAAAAAAAGAAAAGAAUGCUACAUGAUUUCAGUGUAGAAAUGUAUUUUAAAAUGCUUCUGACUGAAAUCUUUUUGUUUCUUUAUUAUGCCAGCCCAGCACCACCACCCACAACUCACUACUGCUGUCUUCUGUGGAGUAUCAUCUGGUUGGCUGUGUUGGUUUCUUUUGCUUGGCCCCUGAGUGUGGCUCUGGCAGCCCUUUAUGGAUUUGCAUCACCAAUGGUUACCCUGUUAGGAUUUGAUGAUGCCACUGGAUCUUUGCUGCAAGCAGUAAAUUUGGGAAGAGAGUGUGCUCAGAACAUCAGAACUGGCAAGCCCAUCAUUUGAAGAAAAGAUCUCACAGCAUUUUAGCAUUCCAUUCUUUCACAAGCAUCCUUUAUAUGUAUUUAGCACUAACAGUCCACCUGUAUCUCUUCUGUUGACCAUUCACAUUAAAAAGUACUUAAUUCAUUAUAAAAGUGGCGUUAUGAUAUUUUUACCUGACCCAUCCUUUUAGCUUUUGGCAUGUAAAUAUACUAACCAGUAUAACUUAAAAACUAGGACCCUACCCUGAAAGGUCUUCACAAGCACACAUGCCGGCUGUGAAGUGUAACUUGUUUACUGGUUGUUGGUGUUGCAAUUAACCAGUUCUAUUGCGCUUGAGUCCCCUUUAGUAAUUUAGAGACAAGGGUAAAUGUUGGUCCAAAUCCUGAAAAUUCAAUGUCCCUAAAUUGUACAAGUCCCCAGUUAUGGGGACUGGAAAGCCCUAUUUUGCCAAUCCAACUCACAAUUACAAAUGCAUGAUGCAAACACAUUUCCUGAUGCCUCUCAGGUGCAUCAUUGGUGCCCGAUCAGUACACCUCUCCAUGACUUUUAAGGAAACCACCUGCAGUGGAGAGUUUGCUUUAAGCACAAAAGCUCAUAGAAUCAUAGAAUUGUAGAGCUGGAAGGGACCUCGACGCCCAUGUACUCCAACCCCCUGCAAUGCAGGAGUCUCAACUAAGGCUCUUAGAUCCCUGGAAGCUUGUAAUCAUGCGAGGGGAAGUGCCUGAACUGGGCUAGAGAUUAUGCCAGUAUCUAGAAGAAUUUGUGCAUUCCUAUACUUUAUAGGGGGACCAUUUCAGGGAGAGAGACAUCCCUGUGUUCCAGACUGUGGGUCAAGCAUUGGCAAUCUGUUGCCCAUCCAGGUGUUAUUGGACUUCAACAGCCUUCAGCCCCAGCCAGUGUAGCCAAUGGUCAGAGAAGAAGGGAGUUGUAGUCCAGCAACAUCUGGAGGAUCACAGAUUCCCCAUCCCUGCCAUAACAACAAGUCAUCUUAAAAUACACCAUUUCCUCCUAUUUGAUCUUAUUUAUACAUGAGAGUAGACCCUUUUGAAUCAUGCUGUGAGUCUUUACUCUGCCUUCAGUCUUGAAAUAAUGUCCCAGAUGGCAAGGAUGAGAACUAGAGGCAGGGAAAAUCCAAGCCAGAUGUGGUGUCUCUUUGAAGUUGGUCUAACAAGAAAUUUAUUUAGAUAGAAGUUGUGGGUGUCUUGCAGAAGUGCAGUGAACUCCUAAC